AGUAAUUUACCUACAAGUAAAUUUCAAUACAUAAACAAAUUGACUCCCUCUCUCUCUAGAAAUGACCGUUGCCAUUUUCUCUCACAUGAUCUGUGAGCUCUGCUGAUGGUUUCCAACAAUUUAUUUGAUUCCAUUUAAAUUAAAUCUAAAAGAUCUGAAAAUAUCCAAUUUGCAGGUUCUUAGGUCAGAGUUGAAGACUUCAAAUCUGCGCGGUGGGCUUUCUGCAAUUUGAUUUUUCGCUCCUCAUUUUUCGUUAUCCGUCGAACGUUUUUGGAUCAAAGAUGGAUCUCGAACUGAUCGAGCCUUGAAAUAAACUCGUAGUAUACAGAAUUUCUUACAGUAUCUAGACAUCACCAAAACACGAUGGCUCAGACGUUAGAAGCUAUAAGGGGUGGUGGGGGAUCGAUUAAACUAGGUACAAUUGGUACAGUGAGUGCGUUAAUGUCGAGAGAAUUAGAUUCCGCGAAAUCCACAUCAGCAAAUGUGCCUUCGGUUGACGAAGCAAGCAGCAGCACAAGCAGUUUCAACAAUCAUAAACUCCCGGAAAAUACCAAAAGGACAACAAAGAACCACACUCGAACCACUACUCAAAUUCCGAUGCUCAAAUCCGAUGAUACAAUAUCGACAGACGGAACUCCUAUAAGACAAAAAAAGCCCAUCAAAAAGGGUCCUGGUAUAGUCGAAAUCGUCGACAUCAAAUGCGGGAGUUCGGACAAGAAGUGGGUGAAUCCAAUCAAGCACCGGCUAAAGAAGCUCGGGUUUUCAAAGCUGUCUCACAGCAUCGUGUAAGGCUUUUUGAGAUUCUUGUAAGUAAAUCGACUCGUGGAGGAAUUCGGGAGAUUUCUUUCGGAUACUUCUACCUUAGAACACAUACUCGGUAUGUACCUUUUUUUCUUGCUCUUCUUUUUCUCGGAUUUCGAAGAAACGUCUGUAGCGAGUUGAUUAUAAGUCUUGUUGGAGGCGCUGCUUCGAUUAUCCAACUCGAGCUGGAUAAAAUAAUCAAUCUCUUGCGUGAUUAGUGAUCCAACGGUACCCCUGGUUCCAAUUGCUACUGGAUUAUUAUUUGAUGUUAUGGCUAGUUUAGCCGAUAGAUCCGAGCCGAAACUUUGAGUCGAUGGCACCGUAUUAUGCCUCGACUUGCUUAGAAUUUGAGGCAUUUUGAGACUUGGUAUUGUUUUCUUUGUGUUUUUCUUCAUGUAUAUAUAUAUAUAUAUAUAUAUAUAUAUAUAUAUAUAGAGUGAAUACAUGUGCAUGCAGUUGAAUCAAAUUUAAGUAGGUGUAAUUAUGUAAACUGAAUAUGAAUGCAGUUUAUUUCAUGACUU
This is a non-coding RNA of Erythranthe guttata (spotted monkey flower), 1322 nucleotides long. The record is from RefSeq and is a predicted model, not a curated record. NCBI's taxonomy places the organism in Eukaryota, Viridiplantae, Streptophyta, Magnoliopsida, Lamiales, Phrymaceae.